AUAAUUAUGUCACACACAUGGAUUGGUUACUGAGAAAGUCCAAGCUUAUUAAAUAUAUGUACAUUUACCUUUUAUUGUUGGCAUCUGUGUAGUGAUGCUUCUUGUUCAUCUGUACAGUCACAUUAAUCAUCAUAUGUAGUUUUGGACAGAAACCCUCUACUAAAAUGGGUUUCAAGUGUAUGUUUUGAUGACUGAGUCCGUAAAUCAUUAAUAGAAAAUUUUCUAUCUUUGUAUCGCCCUUUAUUAAAUACAGUUCUUAGCUGUCUAGAAUUGUCUUUCUUCUGCAUUGCAGGUGAAACUAUAACCCACUAGUCCACCACCAUCAGAACGGUCGGUUAUGUCACACACAUGGAUUGAUUACUGAGAAAGUUCGGUAACGACUUAUUUUAAAAUAACUUAAAGUUAAAAUAUAAGUUGACUUAGAAGUUAUUUUAAGUUGUGACUUGUACGUAAAAGCGUUCGGCAUCAUUUAUAAGUCAGAAAUUAAGUUAAAAUAAGUUAUGAAUGUGUUCGGCUGAUAAUGACUUAUAAGUUAAAAUCAAAUGUAAAGAUUACUAAAAAGGCAUUAAUAAAAAGAUAUAUAUUGAUUCAAUAUCAUAUCAUAUCAUAUCAUAUUCCAGAGUAAAAUCCUGAUCUAUUCCAGAGUAAAAUCCUGAUCUGCAGUAAACUGUGAGCCAUGGCAGCAAUGAGAAUCUAUAUUAAGCCUACAUUUGGACAUCCCUGGUAAAUGGUAAGGACACUUGCUUUUACAAAUUUAUUUCAAGAAUACAUAGAAAAACAAAUGAAUUCCUUUCAAGUAAUGUCCAAUUUCAAGUUAAUGCAGUUCCACCUAAAUGUUCAUAUACCUAAUCCCUGUGAUAUACAUGUAGAUUUCCACACCAGUAGCAUAUAAGGUCCCUUCCCAAGAAACCUUCCUUGCCCAUAAUGACAGUUUGAACUGGAAAAGAGAGGAAUAGUCCUUUUAUAUGACAGAUUAUCAAAUUCUUUCCUGGUUUGUACAGUAGUUUAUUGGAAAUUAUUUAGUGAAAAGUUUGUUAAGAUCUUCUGAGUUUUAGCAAUAAGAAAUCCUGACAUGAUGUGUGCAUAGGGACAAAGUACUAGAAGUCUAGAAUACCUGCCAAAUUAUGUCACUUCAAAGCAUGACUUCUAAUUUUAUUCUCAACAUCUUGCUCUUGUAAAACUAUAGCAAAUGAUUUAAUUAGCACAACUAUGUGAAAAAAUUAUCCAGCAGCAAUCAUUCAGUGAAACGUCACAUACAUCCUCUCCUCCUAUAUAUAAAUCACAUAAAAAUCAUGAAAUCACACAUUAAUGGCACAACUGACAGUCAAAUCAAUUACAUUCUCCUUCAACAAGUUACAUGACUGCUUAUCCAUUGUUUAGUUUUGGGUGCGGUGAUUAAUAAAUUGAAUCUCCAGUUGCUUUUCCCAAACUCAAAAAUGUAAAAAUGAAAAAUAAACAAAUACAUUAUCAAUGGAUAAUUGUGACCUUACUGCCCAAAUGACCAGAAAUAAAAAAGAAGACCAAAGAACAAUAUUCUAGUUUUCCAAUGGAACAAAUUUUAGGCAGCUUAGUCAAUCAUUCCACUUGGCUCCCAGUUUUCCACUUUUUUAAAAAGUUCUUUUUCACUUUAUACGUAAUCAAUAUGGACACACUACUUAGCUCAUGACUUAAUAUAAUCAUCACUGGUGAUUUCUUUUCUGAACAGUAUACAGUAAUACUCAUUGAGGAAUUUCAUCAAACAUGUACACUAUAAACUGCCAACUAAUUAAUAAAAACAACAUAUAAAUCAAUAAUCAAAGUUAAUGAAAAGUAAAGACUAUAAUCCUCAGUAUCAAUUAACACCUCAAUUCAAACAAGUAACUAACUACUUAUAAAGAAAACAAUCAUUUUUCUCCUAUAAUCUUGAACACCAAUAUUUCUCUACAAAUGUCAAAUGGGAUUGAAGUUUCACAAGAACGUGUGCCGAAAAAACUCACCAACCACCAUCAAACAUUUGAACCACAUAAAUUAACAAAAAAAUUGAUUUGAAUCGAAACCCACAGGCUCUGAUACUACAGUCAAAAUUAAAGAGGCAAAGAAGAAGAAAAACCACAUGCCAAAGAUUGAAACACAACAGAAUACACAUAUAUACAUAUCAAACAACAUGUGGUCUAGGGUUUGGUACCUAACAGCAAUAAAAGGAGUAGGAGUAGCAGGAGUAACAACUACGGAGGGAAGGAGGGAGAAGCCAAGAAAUUGACGUAUCGAGCGCAGAGAGAGUAAAGCAGAGCAUUAGCCGUUGUGUUUCGUUAGAAGAGAAUCAACAUAUUAGGUUUUUUAAGUUGAAGUGGGUAGAGAGGUAAUUUAGGUCGAAUCAACUUAUUAAGAAUAACUUACACCCCUCCGUCCGGUAUUAAACUUUCUAAUUUCCGGAUGUUCCUAAAUAAAUGUUAUAUUAUAUUAAUAACUAUUUUUAUCUUAUUCUUCCACUUAUACCCUCAUAAUCUUUUUAGUCAACUUUUGUUGAAAACUUAAAAAAAAGAUAAAAGGUUUACAUUGGAAAAUAAUGUAUUGUUAUUCUCUAAAUCAUCAUAAACAAAGUAUAACCAUGAACAAAUAAGAGAUAAAGUCUCAAUGAGUUAUAAAUGAACAAGUGUUAAUCAUUGAGUACAUACUUUCAAAACUGUAAAGGUACAUAAGCAAACUAAGGAAGUUUAGUUUGGAUUGACUUCAAGGGUAAUUUAGUUUAUAGAGCAUCAACUAAGAAUUAGUUGAAUUAAUAGAAGGAUCACUAGUCAACUAAGAGUUCGGUACAACAAUGUAAGAUAGUACAAUCAGUGGCGGAACCAGAACAUGUUUUUAGGAGGGUCAAAAUACAUCAGUUAAAAAAUUUAUUUAUUGACGCUUAAAGAGCUUCUUUCGGUUGUACGAGUGAGAGGAGGCAACACCUCGUUUAUUGUCUUCUUCAUUAAUACAUCAAUUUUGUUCAUUUAAAGGAACACCGCGUUUAUCAAAGUACUUAAUAAGCUCCGGCCGGAUCAGCCUCAUCAAGACUAUUCUAAGUAGGCUUCUCUUUUAAGCAUUUCAUCAAACACAUUAUGAGCCACACUAAUUUCAUGAGCAUUACCUGUUUUAAGAUUUCUACUCCUUGCCACCAAAACUAAGAACAACCUUUUACUCACAAAAUAUCCACUUUAAUCAAAAACCCAAGUACUAGUUUCUAAUUCUGCUACAGAUAUCUUCAAAUUUUAAACUUUUCAUAAAACCCAUUACAGAUCAUUCAUCAUAUCCCCAAUUACAAUCAAAUUACCCAACAAUCAAUAGACCAUCUCAACAGAAAAUAGCCGGGGACAACAUAAGUUACACAAUCCAUCACAUAUUCUAAAAUCUAGUGAUUCAAUUGAAGCUUGGGUUCCUUAAUUCAAUAUAACUUCACAGAAAAUACUCUUAAUUCUUGCUUUAAACCAAAAGAAGAGAUUAGAGGUUUAAGGACAUUAGGUAUAAAAAUGAAGAAGAACAAAAGAUUAC
Molecule: long non-coding RNA, 3507 nt
Filed under: Panax ginseng (ginseng)
Lineage: Eukaryota; Viridiplantae; Streptophyta; Magnoliopsida; Apiales; Araliaceae
Description: long non-coding RNA (PGIN_LNC017155)
Source: RNAcentral